RNAcentral lists this long non-coding RNA (290 nucleotides) under Mytilus galloprovincialis (Mediterranean mussel). The record is from RNAcentral. Lineage: Eukaryota; Metazoa; Mollusca; Bivalvia; Mytilida; Mytilidae.
AUGGCCAAAAUUGUCAGUUGACCCAUUAAGGAGUUAUUGCCCUUUAUAGUCAAUUUUUAACCAUUUUUCUAAAAUUUUAGUAUUCUUUUAAAAAAUCUUCUCCUCUGAAACUACUGCGCCAAAUUUAACCAAACUUGGCCACAGUCAUCAUUUGGGUAUCUAGUUUUAAAAAUGUGUGGCCUGACCCUGCCAACCAACCAAGAUGGCCGCCAUGGCUAAAAAUAGUACAUAGGGGCGAAAUGUAGAUUUUGGUUUAUAUCUCUGAAACCAAAGCAUUUAGAGCAAAUCUG